GGCUCAGGACGAACGCUGGCGGCGCGCUUAACACAUGCAAGUCGAGCGAGAACCAGGGCUUCGGCCCUGGGGAAAGCGGCGAACGGGUGAGUAACACGUGAGUAAUCCACCCUCGGUACCGGGAUAGCCCGGGGAAACCCGGAUUAAUACCGGAUGGCCCAGCAGCUCUUCGGAGCGGCUGGAAAAGGUAGCUUCGGCCUCCGACCGAGGACGAGCUCGCGGCGGAUUAGCUUGUUGGUGGGGUAACGGCCUACCAAGGCGACGAUCCGUAGCUGGUCUGAGAGGACGAUCAGCCACACUGGGACUGAGACACGGCCCAGACUCCUACGGGAGGCAGCAGUGGGGAAUCUUGCGCAAUGGGCGAAAGCCUGACGCAGCGACGCCGCGUGCGGGAAGAAGGCCUUCGGGUUGUAAACCGCUUUCAGGAGGGACGAAGCUACUCGGGUUAAUAGCCCAGAGGGUGACGGUACCUCCAGAAGAAGCCCCGGCUAACUACGUGCCAGCAGCCGCGGUAAUACGUAGGGGGCAAGCGUUGUCCGGAUUUAUUGGGCGUAAAGAGCGUGUAGGCGGCUAUACAGGUCCGUUGUGAAAACUCGAGGCUCAACCUCGAGACGCCGAUGGAAACCGUAUGGCUAGAGUCCGGAAGAGGAGAGCGGAAUUCCUGGUGUAGCGGUGAAAUGCGCAGAUAUC
Molecule: ribosomal RNA, 690 nt
Filed under: uncultured bacterium
Lineage: Bacteria
Description: bacterial SSU rRNA
Rfam family: Bacterial small subunit ribosomal RNA
Source: RNAcentral